GCGGGUGCAGGCCGGCCUCGCCGUGGCCGCUCCCGCCGGCCCGGCGCCGACGCCGGUCGCGCCGGCCGCCCGCUC
Molecule: transfer RNA, 75 nt
Filed under: Caulobacter sp. NIBR1757
Lineage: Bacteria; Pseudomonadati; Pseudomonadota; Alphaproteobacteria; Caulobacterales; Caulobacteraceae
Description: tRNA-Gly
Source: RNAcentral